GUCUCUGUACACAUAUACUAAAAUUGGAACGAUACAGAAAAGAUUAGCAUGGCCCCUGUGCAAAGAUGCCAUGUGAAUUCAUGAGGCUUCCAUAUUCUU
Molecule: small nuclear RNA, 99 nt
Organism: Rattus norvegicus (Norway rat)
Lineage: Eukaryota; Metazoa; Chordata; Mammalia; Rodentia; Muridae
Source: Ensembl